AUGGAUGCUGCGGGAAGAUGGCCACAUAGAGAGGGUCAACGCAUCCCCAAUGAGACGCCGGAGGCUCUCCUUGAGCAGAACAUCGCCGCUGCACACAUCCAACACCGGAGGGGGAAGUUUCACGUUAGAGAUGACUAUCUAAUCAGCACAAGAUACAUAUAUACCUCAUUAGCCCACAUGUGCAGAGAUGACUAUCUAAUCAGCACACAACCAGAUGCAUAUUUCCAAGAAAACUUACAGUACGGUGUUAGCAUACAUGUGCUUAUAUGA
This 270-nucleotide ribosomal RNA is filed under the name Triticum aestivum (bread wheat). RNAcentral's name for it is "partial small subunit ribosomal RNA". The record is from RNAcentral. Lineage: Eukaryota; Viridiplantae; Streptophyta; Magnoliopsida; Poales; Poaceae.